Molecule: ribosomal RNA, 530 nt
Filed under: Enterobacteriaceae bacterium AaD31a
Lineage: Bacteria; Pseudomonadati; Pseudomonadota; Gammaproteobacteria; Enterobacterales; Enterobacteriaceae
Description: bacterial SSU rRNA
Rfam family: Bacterial small subunit ribosomal RNA
Source: RNAcentral
GGCCUAACACAUGCAAGUCGAGCGGCAGCGGAAGGAAGCUUGCUUCCUUGCCGGCGAGCGGCGGACGGGUGAGUAAUGUCUGGGGAUCUGCCCGAUGGAGGGGGAUAACUACUGGAAACGGUAGCUAAUACCGCAUAACGUCGCAAGACCAAAGUGGGGGACCUUCGGGCCUCACACCAUCGGAUGAACCCAGAUGGGAUUAGCUAGUAGGCGGGGUAAAGGCCCACCUAGGCGACGAUCUCUAGCUGGUCUGAGAGGAUGACCAGCCACACUGGAACUGAGACACGGUCCAGACUCCUACGGGAGGCAGCAGUGGGGAAUAUUGCACAAUGGGGGAAACCCUGAUGCAGCCAUGCCGCGUGUAUGAAGAAGGCCUUCGGGUUGUAAAGUACUUUCAGCGGGGAGGAAGGCAGUGAACUUAAUACGUCCAUUGAUUGACGUUACCCGCAGAAGAAGCACCGGCUAACUCCGUGCCAGCAGCCGCGGUAAUACGGAGGGUGCAAGCGUUAAUCGGAAUGACUGGGCGUAAA